RNAcentral lists this small nuclear RNA (183 nucleotides) under Ophiophagus hannah (king cobra). RNAcentral describes it as "7SK RNA". It matches the Rfam family "7SK RNA", at positions 1 to 199 of the family's 331-position model. Rfam says of the family: 7SK was discovered as an abundant small nuclear RNA in the mid-70s but a possible function has only recently been suggested. The record is from Rfam by way of RNAcentral. Lineage: Eukaryota; Metazoa; Chordata; Lepidosauria; Squamata; Elapidae.
AGAUAGGAGGGCAAUCUGACCGCAACAGUUCUCCUCACAUUAGUCACCAGAGUGGAUUUGGCUGAUCUGAUUGACAAAGAGGGUGACUCUUCCCUCCCUCACAGUCAAUAUAUACCUCUCCCAAAGCUCUUCACUUUGUGAGCAGAUAGGAGUGGGCCAUUCUUUCAUCAAGGCUAGAGCAGC